Molecule: transfer RNA, 72 nt
Filed under: Verrucomicrobiaceae bacterium
Lineage: Bacteria; Pseudomonadati; Verrucomicrobiota; Verrucomicrobiia; Verrucomicrobiales; Verrucomicrobiaceae
Also listed under: 1 other name
Description: tRNA-Lys
Rfam family: tRNA
About the family: Transfer RNA (tRNA) molecules are approximately 80 nucleotides in length. Their secondary structure includes four short double-helical elements and three loops (D, anti-codon, and T loops).
Source: RNAcentral
GCGCGGGUAGCUCAGCGGUAGAGCAGUUGGCUUUUAACCAAUUGGCCGAGGGUUCGAUCCCCUCCCCGCGUA